CGAUUGUUUAACAAAAACAUUUCUUUUUUAUAAAAUAAAAGUAUAGCCUGCCCACUGAAAAUUUAAGGGCCGCGGUAUUAUGACCGUGCAAAGGUAGCAUAAUCAUUAGCCUUUUAAUUAGAGGAUUGUAUGAAUGGUUGAACG
RNAcentral lists this non-coding RNA (144 nucleotides) under Folsomia candida. RNAcentral describes it as "Archaeal large subunit ribosomal RNA". It matches the Rfam family "Archaeal large subunit ribosomal RNA", at positions 1889 to 2083 of the family's 2987-position model. Lineage: Eukaryota; Metazoa; Arthropoda; Collembola; Entomobryomorpha; Isotomidae. The record is from Rfam by way of RNAcentral.